AUUGAACGCUGGCGGCAGGCCUAACGCAUGCAAGUCGAGCGGAUGAAGGGAGCUUGCUCCUGGAUUCAGCGGCGGACGGGUGAGUAAUGCCUAGGAAUCUGCCUGGUAGUGGGGGAUAACGUCCGGAAACGGGCGCUAAUACCGCAUACGUCCUGAGGGAGAAAGUGGGGGAUCUUCGGACCUCACGCUAUCAGAUGAGCCUAGGUCGGAUUAGCUAGUUGGUGGGGUAAAGGCCUACCAAGGCGACGAUCCGUAACUGGUCUGAGAGGAUGAUCAGUCACACUGGAACUGAGACACGGUCCAGACUCCUACGGGAGGCAGCAGUGGGGAAUAUUGGACAAUGGGCGAAAGCCUGAUCCAGCCAUGCCGCGUAUGUGAAGAAGGUCUUCGGAUUGUAAAGCACUUUAAGUUGGGAGGAAGGGCAGUAAGUUAAUACCUUGCUGUUUUGACGUUACCAACAGAAUAAGCACCGGCUAACUUCGUG
Molecule: ribosomal RNA, 484 nt
Filed under: uncultured bacterium
Lineage: Bacteria
Description: partial 16S ribosomal RNA
Rfam family: Bacterial small subunit ribosomal RNA
Source: RNAcentral